Molecule: ribosomal RNA, 464 nt
Filed under: uncultured Sphingobacteriaceae bacterium
Lineage: Bacteria; Pseudomonadati; Bacteroidota; Sphingobacteriia; Sphingobacteriales; Sphingobacteriaceae
Description: bacterial SSU rRNA
Rfam family: Bacterial small subunit ribosomal RNA
Source: RNAcentral
CUCCUACGGGAGGCAGCAGUAAGGAAUAUUGGUCAAUGGACGGAAGUCUGAACCAGCCAUGCCGCGUGCAGGAAGACGGCCCUAUGGGUUGUAAACUGCUUUUGCAGGGGAAUAAACCUCUUUACGUGUAAAGAGCUGAAUGUACUCUGAGAAUAAGGAUCGGCUAACUCCGUGCCAGCAGCCGCGGUAAUACGGAGGAUCCAAGCGUUAUCCGGAUUUAUUGGGUUUAAAGGGUGCGUAGGUGGCCUGUUAAGUCAGGGGUGAAAGACGGUAGCUCAACUAUCGCAGUGCCCUUGAUACUGAUGGGCUUGAAUGAACUAGAGGUAGGCGGAAUGUGACAAGUAGCGGUGAAAUGCAUAGAUAUGUCACAGAACACCAAUUGCGAAGGCAGCUUACUAUGGUUUUAUUGACACUGAGGCACGAAAGCGUGGGGAUCAAACAGGAUUAGAUACCCCUGUAGUCUU